GGGCACGACACCGGAGAGGGAGCCUGAGAAACGGCUACCACAUCCAAGGGUGGCAGCAGGCGCGCAAAUUACCCAAUCCCGACACGGGGAGGUAGUGACAAUAAAUAACAAUACGGGGUUCUUUAGGAUCUCGUAAUUGGAAUGAGUACAAUUUAAAUCUCUUAACGAGGAACAAUUGGAGGGCAAGUCUGGUGCCAGCAGUCGCGGUAAUUCCAGCUCCAAUAGCGUAUAUUAAAGUCGUUGCAGUUAAAAAGCUCGUAGUUGAAUUUCGGGGUUAGUAGGUUGGUCAUGCCUCUGGUAUGUACUGGUCUCACUGAUUCCUCCUUCCUUAUGAACCGUAAUGCCAUUAAUUUGGUGUUGCGGGGAAUUUGGACUGUUACUUUGAAAAAAUUAGAGUGUUUAAAGCAAGCUAACGCUUGAAUACAUUAGCAUGGAAUAAUGAAAUAGGACGUUCGAUCUUAUUUUGUUGGUUUCUAGGAUUGACGUAAUGAUUAAUAGGGAUAGUUGGGGGCAUUAGUAUUCAAUUGUCAGAGGUGAAAUUCUUGGAUUUAUUGAAGACUAACUACUGCGAAAGCAUUUGCCAAGGAUGUUUUCAUUAAUCAAGAACGAAAGUUAGGGGAUCGAAGACGAUCAGAUACCGUCGUAGUCUUAACCAUAAACUAUGCCGACUAGGGAUCGGAUGAUGUUAAUUUUUUAAUGACUCAUUCGGCGCCUUACGGG
RNAcentral lists this ribosomal RNA (720 nucleotides) under uncultured Glomeromycotina. RNAcentral describes it as "SSU rRNA". It matches the Rfam family "Eukaryotic small subunit ribosomal RNA", at positions 373 to 1094 of the family's 1831-position model. Lineage: Eukaryota; Fungi; Glomeromycota. The record is from RNAcentral.